UNUGGUCUGUCACUGACGCUGAGGCUCGAAAGCGUGGGUAGCGAACAGGAUUAGAUACCNUGGUAGUCCACGCCGUAAACGAUGGGUGCUAGGUGUUAGGCCCUUUCCGGGGCUUAGUGCCGGAGCUAACGCAAUAAGCACUCCGCCUGGGGAGUACGACCGCAAGGUUGAAACUCAAAGGAAUUGACGGGGGCCCGCACAAGCGGUGGAGCAUGUGGUUUAAUUCGAAGCAACGCGAAGAACCUUACCAGGUCUUGACAUCCCGAUGCUAUUCUUAGAGAUAGGAAGUUACUUCGGUACAUCGGAGACAGGUGGUGCAUGGUUGUCGUCAGCUCGUGUCGUGAGAUGUUGGGUNNNNNNNNNCAACGAGCGCAACCCUUAUUGUUAGUUGCCAUCAUUAAGUUGGGCACUCUAGCGAGACUGCCGGUAAUAAACCGGAGGAAGGUGGGGAUGACGUCAAAUCAUCAUGCCCCUUAUGACCUGGGCUACACACGUGCUACAAUGGUCGGUACAACGAGUUGCGAGCCGGUGACGGCAAGCUAAUCUCUGAAAGCCGAUCUCAGUUCGGAUUGGAGGCUGCAACUCGCCUCCAUGAAGUCGGAGUCGCUAGUAAUCGCGGAUCAGCACGCCGCGGUGAAUACGUUCCCGGGCCU
Molecule: ribosomal RNA, 653 nt
Filed under: uncultured bacterium
Lineage: Bacteria
Description: bacterial SSU rRNA
Rfam family: Bacterial small subunit ribosomal RNA
Source: RNAcentral